UGGGGAAUCUUGCACAAUGGGCGAAAGCCUGAUGCAGCGACGCCGUGUGCGGGAUGAAGGCCUUCGGGUUGUAAACCGCUUUCAGCAGGGACGAGGCCGCAAGGUGACGGUACCUGCAGAAGAAGCCCCGGCUAACUACGUGCCAGCAGCCGCGGUAAUACGUAGGGGGCAAGCGUUAUCCGGAUUCAUUGGGCGUAAAGCGCGCGUAGGCGGUUUGUUAGGUCAGGAGUUAAAUCUGGGGGCUCAACCCCUAUCCGCUCCUGAUACCGGCAGGCUUGAGUCUGGUAGGGGAAGGCGGAAUUCCAAGUGUAGCGGCGAAAUGCGCAGAUAUUUGGAAGAACACCGGUGGCGAAGGCGGCCUUCUGGGCCACGACUGACGCUGAGGCGCGAAAGCUAGGGGGGCGAACAGG
Molecule: ribosomal RNA, 410 nt
Filed under: Verrucomicrobiota bacterium
Lineage: Bacteria; Pseudomonadati; Verrucomicrobiota
Description: Verrucomicrobia bacterium partial 16S ribosomal RNA
Rfam family: Bacterial small subunit ribosomal RNA
Source: RNAcentral